RNAcentral lists this ribosomal RNA (486 nucleotides) under uncultured bacterium. RNAcentral describes it as "partial 16S ribosomal RNA". It matches the Rfam family "Bacterial small subunit ribosomal RNA", at positions 30 to 507 of the family's 1533-position model. The record is from RNAcentral.
AUUGAACGCUGGCGGCAUGCCUUACACAUGCAAGUCGAACGGCAGCACGGGUGCUUGCACCUGGUGGCGAGUGGCGAACGGGUGAGUAAUACAUCGGAACAUGUCCUGUAGUGGGGGAUAGCCCGGCGAAAGCCGGAUUAAUACCGCAUACGAUCUACGGAUGAAAGCGGGGGACCUUCGGGCCUCGCGCUAUAGGGUUGGCCGAUGGCUGAUUAGCUAGUUGGUGGGGUAAAGGCCUACCAAGGCGACGAUCAGUAGCUGGUCUGAGAGGACGACCAGCCACACUGGGACUGAGACACGGCCCAGACUCCUACGGGAGGCAGCAGUGGGGAAUUUUGGACAAAGGGCGAAAGCCUGAUCCAGCAAUGCCGCGUGUGUGAAGAAGGCCUUCGGGUCGUAAAGCACUUUUGUCCGGAAAGAAAUCCUUGGCCCUAAUACGGUCGGGGGAUGACGGUACCGGAAGAAUAAGCACCGGCUAACUACGUG